AUGAACGCUGGCGGCGUGCCUAACACAUGCAAGUCGAGCGAGAAGUUUGUAAGCCGAUCUUCGGAGAAGCGAGCAAGCGGAAAGCGGCGGACGGGUGGGUAACGCGUAGGCAACCUGCCCCAUACAGAGGGAUACCUUCGGGAAACCGGGAUUAAAACCUCAUAACGCCAUCGAGUCACAUGGUUUGAUGGCCAAAGAUUUAUCGGUAUGGGAUGGGCCUGCGUCUGAUUAGCUAGUUGGUGAGGUAACGGCUCACCAAGGCGACGAUCAGUAGCAGAACUGAGAGGUUCAUCUGCCACAUUGGAACUGAGACACGGUCCAAACUCCUACGGGAGGCAGCAGUGAGGAAUAUUGCACAAUGGGCGAAAGCCUGAUGCAGCAACGCCGCGUGAGUGAUGAAGGCCUUUGGGUCGUAAAACUCUGUCCUUGGGGAAGAAAAAAAUGACGGUACCCUUGGAGGAAGCCCCGGCUAACUACGU
RNAcentral lists this ribosomal RNA (479 nucleotides) under uncultured bacterium. RNAcentral's name for it is "bacterial SSU rRNA". It matches the Rfam family "Bacterial small subunit ribosomal RNA", at positions 29 to 506 of the family's 1533-position model. The record is from RNAcentral.